CUCGAAUGGCUUUGUAAAGUUGUGCAAAGAAUUUGAUUGGUUUUGGUAUUUGAUUCUCGUUGGACUAAAAUGCCUGCUUGCUUUCAAAUGGUCGCAGAUUUUGAAUGCUGGUGAACUGAGUUUUCCGCUCCACAAACCGUUUUUCUUUUCUUUCGUUUCAUUUUGAAGAUCGGAUAGGGUAGAAACAGAGGUAGAAACGCGAACCAUGGACUCGCACUUAAUCAACAUAUUAAAUUUUUUGUACUCUAUACUUACUGUUUCCGGAAUACAUAAAAAAAUUAUGAUAAUAUACAAAAACAUGACUGAGUGAGAUUUAUUUUAUUGACAACUGAAAAUAAUAUAAUAAAUAGACAACCCUAAUAAUAUUAUUUAAUCAACAAAGUUUGAUUUUGUGCCUUUAUUAAAUUCUUCUUUAGUUGUGAGCUAAUUUAUUUUUUAUCUUAUUUUUAUAAGAAUAUGACAUAUUUUUUUAAUUAAAUUAAAUCUAUCUUAUUUACAUUUAUUGUUAGGAUAAAAGUUGGUUUUAGGAUCUACUACAACCAAUAUGUUAUAUAACUGCGAAGGUUAUGUAUAUGAUUACGUAAUAAUAGAUAAAUUAUAAUUCAAUUUUUAGUGUAUUUUAUCUUGUUGUUCAAACUAAAUUUUUACAUGUUAUUUACUCUAAAUUUUAUGUUCAAAAUACUACAAUUUAAAAAAUAUGAUAAUAAUAUGCAUGAGUGUUACACCUGCGUUAUGUUUUAGUAGUAAUAAAAUUUUAAAGAAUUAAAAUUAAAAUACAACUUAGUUUUCAAAAUAAAAUGAAGUAAAUAUAAUUUGUGAAUAAAAUAAAAAAAGGGGAUCUAUUAAUAGUUCUAUUCCAUAAAAAAAUUUAAAUUAAGAAAUUAAUAAAAAUGGAAAUGGUAAGUUGCUAAAAUAUAGUUCAGUUUUUAACAUAAUAUACAAAAAUGUCAAUCCAUUGUGAAAUCAUAUAAGAAAGUGACCAAUUUAGAGUGUUUGAAAUUCUGAAUGAUGAUAUCUAUAUAACUACUUAAGUUAACUAGCACUUACCAUAACCACAUGUAAGUUAACUAGCACUUACCAUAACCACAUGUACCAAAUAUACACUAGAAAACAAAAAUGGUAAAACUAUACAUUAAUGAUGUUGCAUACUUCGAGCUUGCUUCUUAGUUUUUUAAACUUUAAUUUCUAUAGACCCUUAUUAAAAAUGUCUGUAAGUUGAUUCUCGGAGCUGCAAAGAACAAGCUGAAUUUUACUUUUUCUUUCGACUUCUCUAAUAAAGUGAAUUUAACCUUCACAUAUUUUGUCUUUUCAUGAAUGACAAUAUUUUUAACAAUUGUUACAAUAGAUUUAGUCACAUAAGACUCUAGUUGCACUUGUUUGCUCAAACUUCAAAUCUUUAAGAACGUUUUUAAGCCAUAUAGUUUGAUUAAUAAUUGAGUUAGUAGUCGUAUACUCUGCUUCAGUUAUGAACUGUGCUAUUAUGUCUUGGUUGUUUGAGUUCUAACUCACUAUACCAUACCUAAUAAAGAAAAAAAAGCUUGAGAUACUUUAUAUUGUUAUGUGAGCCAACCUAAUCAUAGUCACUAAAUCCCAAUAGCUUAUCACUAAGUUGAAUUUACAAGAAAUGACAUCUAAUUUGAUUUUUCUUUCUAACAGAUUUGACAAAUUUUGUUAGUUUUUCUCAUAAAAGGCAUACUAAUCACAAGACCUCGAGUUCUCAUUUAAUUCAAAAGUUCUAGUCUUUUAUCAUAUCAUGAGGUUGACUCCAUUCAAUAUUAAGCUUCAUGCAUCUUAACUUUAAGUAACUUCAUCACUAAAUUUAUUAAAUACCUCAUACAUUGUAUUAUGGAAGAUUAGAAGUAGAAUUUUUUUCUAGCAGUUCUCCAAUACCUAGUAAAUUAUGACAUAAUUCAUGCGCACAGAGAAUAUUAGAAUUAAUUUCGUACUUAAGAGAGUAUUGAUACUAGCUACACCUCUUCCACAAACUUAAACAUAUUACCAUCACCAAUUCCUACUUUUGAAGUAUAACUUAUAUAAAGGCUUUUGAAAUUUUGUGCAAAAUCAAAAGACAAAUUUCAUACUUGAUAGAAGAGGCAAAAGACUCAAAUCACCUGCCGAAUCUUUUUUAAAGACAAGAUGAUAUGAUACAUAAAAACUAUUCGCAAUAAGUCGAAGAAUGGUGCAUUAGAUCUGGUAGCUUGUAGAGGGAAUUAGAUCCAGUCAAGGCCACCCUUAGGCUUAGGUACAACCUUACUCGUGCUUGAUUUGUGAGUUUGUCUUUGAUGGAAAGAAGUUUAUGCUGUCUAAAAAGAAGUUUAGAGAGCGAAGGAACGCUGGGAUUCAGAGAGUUUAAUCCAGGGCAAAAAUCAACCAAAGAAAUAUAGUUCAGAUAGACUGGGAAGAUAGUUUUCCUACUCCUCUUUAUUGAUGGUGGAAACUUUUAAAAAAUGACAAUGAAACUCUUCUCUUGAAUUUAACUUCAAAAAAAAUAAAGUUUAAUGCAGUUCGAAUAAAUUGAAACCAAAUAAUAAAUGACUAAUUAAUGUAUGAAAUUUUUUUUAACCUAAGAUUAAAAUUAGAAUAAUUUCAAUAUAAGUUUAUUGAAUUUGUUCAUGCAAAAUCCUUAUGCUCUAAUUUUAUUUAUUACAAAUUUUAAAUUUUAUUAUAUGAUAUAA
Molecule: long non-coding RNA, 2675 nt
Filed under: Carica papaya (papaya)
Lineage: Eukaryota; Viridiplantae; Streptophyta; Magnoliopsida; Brassicales; Caricaceae
Description: long non-coding RNA (CPAP_LNC006919)
Source: RNAcentral